Non-coding RNA from Pterulicium gracile, 99 nucleotides. NCBI's taxonomy places the organism in Eukaryota, Fungi, Basidiomycota, Agaricomycetes, Agaricales, Pterulaceae. The record is from the annotation of a GenBank genome assembly.
GGUUUCGUGGUCUAGUGGUUAUGAUUUCUGUCUCACAGUGGGAUUCAAUGUCGCAUAGCGUCACACAGAAGGUCCCCGGUUCGACCCCGGGCGGAACCA